UACGGAGGGUGCUAGCGUUGUUCGGAAUUAUUGGGCGUAAAGAGCUCGUAGGCGGCCUGUCGCGUCGGAUGUGAAAGCCCGGGGCUUAACCCCGGGUCUGCAUUCGAUACGGGCAGGCUAGAGUGUGGUAGGGGAGAUCGGAAUUCCUGGUGUAGCGGUGAAAUGCGCAGAUAUCAGGAGGAACACCGGUGGCGAAGGCGGAUCUCUGGGCCAUUACUGACGCUGAGGAGCGAAAGCGUGGGGAGCGAACAGG
RNAcentral lists this ribosomal RNA (253 nucleotides) under uncultured bacterium. Its description in RNAcentral is "partial 16S ribosomal RNA". It matches the Rfam family "Bacterial small subunit ribosomal RNA", at positions 524 to 776 of the family's 1533-position model. The record is from RNAcentral.